GAGGGAAUUGUCCUCUGUGCAAGGGACUUUCUUUUGGCCCUAGGCCCCUUCCUGCCCCUGUCGUCAGCAGAGAGAUGGAAAACUUGAUGACUAGCUCCACCCUACCGCCCCUUUUUGCAGAUGAAGAUGGUUCCAAGGAGAGUAAUGAUCUGGCUACCACUGGGUUAAAUCACCCAGAGGUUCCAUACAGUAGUAGCGCCACAUCAUCCACCAACAAUCCAGAAUUUGUGGAGGAUCUCUCCCAAGGUCAGUUGCUUCAGAGUGAGUCUUCAAAUGCAGCAGAAGGCAAUGAACAGAGGCAUGAAGAUGAGGUAAGCUGAAGUAUCUCCUUCUGUUCCUAUCCUCUGAAACUUCUGAAGAAGCAGUCACAAGGAAGGUAUGUUGAUCAAGGUGUUCAUAUGACCUUCUUAUAUUCCUAGGCUGAUACCUGCAAAAUUUUGUUUUCUAUUUCUUGUUUUAUACGGAACCAUAUUAAUAAUUUUAAUGACAUAGACAGGUAGACUCUUUUUUCCCUGUUCCCUAAGAAAUGUAUACUUACCUCAUAUUAGAUGUUGAACAAAUACUUGUUGAAUGAGUGAAUGAUUUAAUCAUUAAUAAGUAACUAAUGAGAAGUGUACAUGCCCUUGCUCAAGGCUCUGCUCAGCAAGCCCUGCUGCAUGGAGCCCUAUGUGCCCAAAGGAUUCAUACUACUUACCAAAUCUUUCACCCUCCCAUAGGGGGUAACUUUCCUUAACUCACACAAAGGCG
Molecule: small RNA, 747 nt
Filed under: Pan troglodytes (chimpanzee)
Lineage: Eukaryota; Metazoa; Chordata; Mammalia; Primates; Hominidae
Description: retained intron
Source: RNAcentral